This is a long non-coding RNA of Taeniopygia guttata (zebra finch), 1667 nucleotides long. RefSeq lists it as uncharacterized. Lineage: Eukaryota; Metazoa; Chordata; Aves; Passeriformes; Estrildidae. The record is from RefSeq and is a predicted model, not a curated record.
GCAGAACUGUUCCACUAGCACAUCUGGUAGAGCUGCUGCUUUGAGAUGUGAUAUGGAGAUGGAUGAGCUCCAGAGUAACCCCACUUCCCACAGACUGCAUGAGCCAGCAGGACUGCCUGCCAAGCCCACUAGGUUCAUUAAGCUCAGUAGAACCCUGCAGGAAAAACCAAUUUUAAAAAUAGCUUUCAAAGGCUCCCUGGGUUUAAAAGUUCUGGAUUAUUUUCCAUUGCACCAUGCAGAGAAAUUGUCCCUUCUAAAGCACAAUUUACAUCUCCUGAAUAAAGAGAAAGAAAAUACCUUUUUGGUCUAUUUGAGGUAACAUGACCUGAUGUUUCUGUUGGAAGGAAUUUACCGAAUUUUUCAGCUUUGGUUACCUCAUCCUUGACAGGAGACUUUUGAGUGACCAAAAGGUGGUCACUUUGUUGAAAAAAUCUCUUUCCUUCUGCUGUUCCAGAAAAGCAUCAUUUUCACAUCUUAAAAUGCCAGGCUGGAUUUCCAGGAGGAUGCAAUUCAAUAAAUUGCCAAGCUUCUUCACGGCAAAGCAAAAUGUCAUUGAACACCUCAGAUUUCCUACACCAAUUUUAGCCAUGCUGACCAGUUUUGUGGGAAGAGUGAGAUGUAAAAAGCCAUUCCCUCAUUCCUGAUUUCUCACUGAUCCCAUGGUUUGGAGCCCUCAGUACAAUCAAAAGUAGUGCCUACACAGAGCUAAAUACAGUGGUCACUUCUACCUCUAGAAGCCUCCAGACUGCUCUAAGAGUCAUCAAAGAGUGAAGGACACACUGGGAAAUUAGCAACUCCUUUUCUUCAGCAGCAGGGAGGCAGUUUCUUCUGCAGCUACUCCCUAAUUGCUUCCACUAUGAGCCAUGCAGCUUUGCUGGUCCACGGAGCUUAAAUCCACAUGAGACAAUUCCAGGAAAGAACAUGUCAAUCCAAUCAGCAAGUCACUUUGGUGUGUGUGCGCUCUACAAUCUGCCUGUGAAGUGCUGCCUGUUCCGCUGGAUUUAAAAGGCAGAGCAGCUUCAGGAGUUUUUAUCUCUGCAUGACUGCUGGCUAGGGAUUUGAAAAGAAAAAAAAAACUGCAAGAGGAAAUUGGUUUGGACAAGAAGAGCUUCUGUACAUAAUUCUUAUUAAUUUGAAGAUGAAAUGCAGUCUCUUAGAAACAAAAAAAAGAUAGUGUGAUGGCUUACUCAAUAUGGUUAUUGCUGUGGGAUUCAGCCCCAUUUUCUAAGGAUUAGAACUGACUUCCCAGCAUAGCCUAUUUACUGGGAACAGAAUUACUGGAAUUCUUCCUUUUAGGGACAAGGCAUGUAAAGAACAAAAGGAAUCUCCGAAGAGUGAAGCUUUCUGUUUCCCAGUACACAGAGAGCAUGAGAGCUCUAAGGGGGAAAGAGUGGCUCCAUUUCAAUGUUGUAGAACAUUUACUUUCUGUUUGAAUGGGGUUUUGGUCAGAAAAUUGAAACUUUAUAUUGAAGGAAAGAAAAUACAAGGUAUUGACAUUUACAUUUAGUACAGGACAUAUGAUUUUACUUAAAUAAAAAUAACUGCUAAAACCCACCAAAAUAAAAUUUGUACUCUAGGACAGUGUUGAAAGUUUUUAUUUCUUUUUCUUCUCAGUUAAUAAAUCACAGUAUGCAUUUGCCUCCUAUCUCAAUAAAAACUCAUGAAUU